This 460-nucleotide ribosomal RNA is filed under the name uncultured bacterium. Its description in RNAcentral is "partial 16S ribosomal RNA". It matches the Rfam family "Bacterial small subunit ribosomal RNA", at positions 338 to 795 of the family's 1533-position model. The record is from RNAcentral.
CCUACGGGAGGCUGCAGUGAGGAAUAUUGGUCAAUGGGAGAGAUCCUGAACCAGCGAAGCCGCGUGAGGGAAGACGGCCCUAUGUGUUGUAAACCUCUUUUGUCGGAGAACAAAACCCGGGACGUGUCCCGGACUGCGUGUAUCCGAAGGAACAGCAUCGGCUAACUCCGUGCCAGCAGCCGCGGUAAUACGGAGGGUGCGAGCGUUCUCCGGAUUUAUUGGGGUUAAAGGGUGCGUAGGCGGUCGGAGAAGUUAGAGGUGAAAUCCCGGGGCUUAACUUCGGAACUGCCUCUGAUACGGUUCGGCUAGAGAGUAGGUGCGGUAGGCGGAAUGUAUGGUGUAGCGGUGAAAUGCUUAGAGAUCAGACAGAACACCGAUGGCGAAGGCAGCUUACCAAGCUACUUCUGACGUUGAGGCACGAAAGCGUGGGGAGCAAACAGGAUUAGAUACCCCAGUAGUC